Molecule: ribosomal RNA, 494 nt
Filed under: uncultured bacterium
Lineage: Bacteria
Description: partial 16S ribosomal RNA
Rfam family: Bacterial small subunit ribosomal RNA
Source: RNAcentral
GACGAACGCUGGCGGCGUGCUUAACACAUGCAAGUCGAACGGUGAAGCGCCUUCCUUUUUGGUGGGUGUGGAUGAGUGGCGAACGGGUGAGUAACACGUGAGUAACCUGCCCCCUUCUUCUGGAUAACCGCAUGAAAGUGUGGCUAAUACGGGAUAUUCUGGGUCUGUCGCAUGAUGGGUCUGGGAAAGAUAUUGUUUCGGUGGGGGAUGGGCUCGCGGCCUAUCAGCUUGUUGGUGGGGUGAUGGCCUACCAAGGCGGUGACGGGUAGCCGGCCUGAGAGGGUGAACGGUCACACUGGGACUGAGACACGGCCCAGACUCCUACGGGAGGCAGCAGUGGGGAAUAUUGCACAAUGGGCGCAAGCCUGAUGCAGCGACGCCGCGGGAGGGAUGGAGGCCUGCGGGUUGUGAACCUCUUUCGCCAGUGAAGCAGGCCUGCCUCGUUUGUGGGUGGGUUGACGGUAGCUGGAGAAGAAGCGCCGGCUAACUACGUG